Pimephales promelas (fathead minnow) is the source of this 1321-nucleotide non-coding RNA. Lineage: Eukaryota; Metazoa; Chordata; Actinopteri; Cypriniformes; Leuciscidae. The record is from RefSeq and is a predicted model, not a curated record.
UAGAAUCAUGCCCGCACUGAUUAGCGCUAAUGCACUGCAGGUGCGAGAGAGAGAGAAGCGGCGCUCACACAGGUUUCCUGUUUGACGAGUCAAGAUAAAAGAAGGAAGCAGGCAGAAGGGAAAGAGAAGACACAGACGGGGAAGGAACAGGGGAAAGGGAGAGAUGCCCGGUGAAGAGCAAGGGGGGCGCUCGGCGCAUGCUGGACGGCGCGUGUGGGGAAAGGGGAGUUUUGAAGUGCUCGUGCAGGAUACAAGCUUUCUCGGGAAGAUCGUUGGGGCAGGGAGACCGCCCAUUUAAGCUGCUGGAUCAGAGUAAUCGUCUGUGGGAAGACUGCUGGACUGAGCUAUCGACUGGAUCUGUGCUGUGGAAGGAGAGAGAAAAGAUAAGUGCACUGAUUUCAUCUUAUGAACAUUUAAACCGCUUGAAGAGUAUAUGCAGUACCUGUGGAUCUGACUGUUGGAGGAACUAUGUGUUUCAGAGUGUGUUGAGGAGGAAUUGAAAGUGAACCCCGGAGACAAACGGAGUUUGUUGAUCAGACUCCGGGGCCUCUGAUCAGCCCUAUCGUGUGAGUGAAUUGCAGUGCUUUUGCCUUAUUGAUACACAUUGAUUUAUGGCUGUGGAAUUGAAUUGAACACAAGUGUGAUGUGUCUUUGCUGAGAAGUGGCCCCAACCCAUGCUUACACGUUUGUGGAAAGUUAUUAAAUCUGCUCUCUAUCCGAAGCCUAGAGUGAUACAGCUGAACUGAAGAGAGUACUGUGUACUUUGAGAGGAUCCUUACCUGUUCUAUUUACUGUUCGAGUCCUGAACCAUGCAGCACCGCUGAGCGUACUUUGUACUGUGGAGAAGAAGCAGGCAGCAUUCCUGGUGAAGUAGUCUUUUAACCCAUCGUCGUCCUGCUGUGAACCGAAGAGAGUACUGUGUACAGUGAGGGUUCCCACUUGCUAUACUUACUGCUCGAGUUCUGGAAGUCUGAAACGGUUAAACUACUGUUCCAUUUCUGGCACCGACGAGAGUACUUGGUACUGUGGAGAAGAAGUAAGCAGCAUCUCCGGUGAAGUAACCUUUUAACCCAUUGUCUUCCUGCUGUGAACUGAAGAGAGUACUGUGUACGGUGAGGGUUCCCACUUGUUACACUUACUACUCAAGUUCUGGAAGUCUGCAGCAUUGCUGGGGGAAAUUGCAGCGCUGCUGGUGAACGGAGCCCUGAAGCCGCCGUCUGAGAGGCACGGUGAUGGCCGAUCCGUGUUCGACCGUAGUCGAAGGAUACCUGGAGGACAGUGAAGCCUAUACAAUUGGCGCUCCUCGCUACGUUGUUCAAUA